Molecule: long non-coding RNA, 4825 nt
Organism: Populus trichocarpa (black cottonwood)
Lineage: Eukaryota; Viridiplantae; Streptophyta; Magnoliopsida; Malpighiales; Salicaceae
Exons: 5
Source: RefSeq, a predicted model, not a curated record
UCUUCGAGGGCUUACAUCUUUUUAUGUUUUUCCUCUUGCAGUUAUUAAACAAUAUAUUGAUUCUCCCAGGACGUAUUGACUGACGUAUAUAGUCCCUCCUUUCAGGAAAAAGGUAAAGAGCAGGUGACGGCAAAACUAAAAUGCUCUGGAAUGCACCACGUGUUUUCCGGGGGCUUUUCCUCUCCUUUCCCGGUCAAAUUGCAAGGUCUUCGGUUGCAGACUUGGCAGUCCCUAUAAAUAAGACACCAAGUUAAUCAGCUCUACUUGCAAAAAACAUUUCUGUGAAUAAAACUUACAAACUUAAUUUGUCAACAGUAAGAGUUAUCUUGACGACACCGUCCAAUAAUGGCAAGACUUUCCACGUCUUCGAUCUUCUUCGUCGGGCCUCUCUUUGUAUGCUCUCUGCUUUUGAUCAUCUCAGAAGCUCGUCCUCUCGGUGUGGUAGGGUCACAUGGCUCUAUAAACAAUAGGAUUGGUACAAUAUUCUCUGACGAGAUGAACAUUGAAGGAAUUAAAAACAGCGGCCCAAGCGAAGGAGGGAGGGGCCAUGCGUUCAAGAUUGUCCACUCUUGAGAAACACAUGGUGGUCCUAGUCCUGGAGACGGGCACUGAUAUAAUAUUGAGCCAGUCUUGCUGUGCAUCAAUGAUUUUUUCAAUCUUUGUAGCAUGCGAGUAAUAUAGCAAUUCAUUCAUUCGUUUCGGUCAUUUAUUUUCAGAUAUAAAUGUAAAAUGUAACUUAUCUAGAGGUUCUAAUCAUUCCUUUUCAGAGUUCCGUGAUCUGAUAUAUAUUGAAGAACCAUUCAAGACAGAGCAAUUAUAUCUUGUCUUGUUAGUGUCUCAUUAUGAAUUUCCAAUGAUUUUUUUAAUCUUUAAUUGGUAAUGAAGCUUUCUUCAAUAAUCUCUCUUCUACGAGCACAGUUUAAUUUGUCCAACCAUGAUCAACUAGUUUACGAUCGGCUAUUGAACAUCAGAUCAUAUCGAAAAUGUUGCUCGGUGAUCCAUAGUGUUUUUGUAAGUAAGUUGAAAAGGGACCUCAUUUAACCGUAUUUAUUAGGACUAUGCCAGUACAAGCUAGCAAUCCCUUCCAUUAAUUGUCCCUUAACUUCUUCCCAUGGUUGCGCUUGUUACAUCUGUUGCAUUAAUUAGAAGGACAGAUUGAUUUGGACUUAUGAUAGCUCAGGACAAUUGUCGGUUAGCUCAUGCAGAAAGCUGAUGGAUUCAGUACUUUUACAAGGUAGUAAUCCAAUAGUUCAUAUAUUUGGAAAUCUCUAGUUCCACCGACGGUUGAAGCUUUUGUUUGGUUAGUAUCCUUGGGUAAACUUCCAACUACAGAUUUUCUUUCAAAUGAUGGAAUUAUUGUAGUAGACUACUCCUGUACAUUUUGCAAUGAAGUUCAGAAACUAGUAAUCACUUGCUCCUAAACAGUUGUAGAGUUUGGUCAUGUAUUAUGCAUUGCUGGGGGCAGUUCUUGGGCCAUUUCAAAGGAUGUUGUUGGCUUAUUUCAGUCCUAGAGAUCCUUUGCUGUCGGCAAGAUGCAAAAGAAACUUUGGUUUUUGGUUCUGUACUCAACUUUGUGGUCUAUAUGGUUAGUAAGGAAUGACUUGGUCUUUAAUCAGGUUGCACCAAACCGAGAGGAUACCUUUUUCCUGAUCUUGCACAGAGUUGCUAGUUAAAAUCAUUAAAAAAACACCUAAAAUAUAUUAAUUAGGAGAAACAAUUUAAAGGAAUGCAUUUGUUGGGCGUAAAACAAAGAGGGGGGUUUCAUUCAAGCUGCUGAACAGCACCUUGGCACAGUAUGAGAUGUUAGGCCAUCCUAUACCUAUAUAUCCAGAACCAGCACACAGGUCCAAUGUGAGUUAUCGUCCGUUAAUGCUAUAAAUCAUACUUAUGCAGUUGAAUUAAUAGACGUACUUCUACUAGAAAUGGAUUGUGUCAGGGAGGGACAAGUCCCUGUUUCCUAUGCAUGAAUGGUGGCUAUGUAUUAAUAUAUUAAAAAGCAAAGAAACUAGUGCCUGAAGAGAAUAUGUAUAACUAUAUUUUCCUGAAGAGCUUGAAAACUGGAUAUGAACAAAUUCAAGACGGUAGGACUGCUUCAAAGUGCUGUGGACGACAACCAAACUUGGCUGCUUCCUUCCGUUCUGUUCUGUUCUGUUUAUCGUUGUUCAAAGCUUUGACAGUCAAAACCAACACUUCAACCAGACUCCAAGAAACGAAAACGCUUGAUGGUUGUUGUUAGUGUAUGAUUUAGGUAUUUAUCCUCCUUAAAUUUCUGUUUGCUAACAUAUUUGUCCCACUUGAUUAGUCCAAUUUUGGAGGGCCUGUCUUUGAUAAGAAAAUAUUAUUGAAGUCAUAACCUACAUUGUUAAGAAAAAAAAAUCUUUUUCUCCUUUAAUAAUAUUCAAGCUAUGGCGUAAAGAUUAACUUGGUCUGCCGACUGAUCAUCGUCCAUUUAUAAACUAAUAAAAAUAUAAUAUGUGUGCACCGUGCACGUCUUAAUGUGAAACUAAUAAUUUUCUCUUAGCUUCUCUCUGCGGGCCGAAUUACUAUCUCUCUGUUUCAUUUUCUCUCAUUUUGUGAACGAAAAUCCAACCCAAAUCGAUCAUUUCAUCUAGUUGGUGUUGUUUUCUCUUCAUCUCCCUCCAUCUAGCGCCGCAAGGCACUGUCGGUGUAGUAGAUUUAUUCAUUAUCUCUCUCGGCAGCGAGCGAGAGGGAUAGUUUACAGUGUAGUAGAUUUGUUUCUCUGUCACGUCUGCCCAUAUUGGGUCUUAAGCAGGUGCUCCUUGCCUGCGUUGAUGUAGUAUCAAAUGCAAAUAUACAAAGAGCAGCAGGUCUAAUGCAUGUUCUGGACCAAGUGGUGCCAGCCUCUAGAGAGCCAAUCCCGCGGUUGGGUGCUUAUAUGCUGGAAGGGCAUAGGGGCAAGGUUGGAGCUCUCAGGAAGUAAAAUCUACAGAGCCUUGAAGUGUGAAGCACCAACUAGCUCAGAUUGAUGACUCAAGUUGCUAAGUCAUGCAAUGUGCCAUUUGAGUUCCAUGGUGUUGCCAUGGAUGGUUGUGAGGUUCAACUGGAACAUCUUAGGGUUCAACCUGGGAAAGCUCUCAUCAAACUCCCUCUCACCCCAAAUAUCCAAGACAUAUGCACGAAGUAUUGCAAGUAUAGGUCCCAAAACUAUGUCAUGUGAGGACAGAACCUGCUUUUUUGUCAACCUGGUAUUACACCUUUAGUGACAGCUACUUUAAAGGUGUAAGAUCUAGCAGGCGCAAGUUAGUUGAAAAAAAAAUAAUUGGAAACUUUUUCUAUUCUCUUCUGGCCCAAGGAGAGGGAAGGUUGUUUAGGAUCUUUGUAGAAUUUUGGUUGCCACUAACUGAAGUACCCUUCAGUUCUAGAAUACUUUAAUCUGAUUGUUGAUGUUCCCAUGCCUGAUGAUAUGGUGGGUGUAGGAUAUUUGAAUCAACCACUGAAAUUAUGAAAGGUUUAUGUUUUUACUUUGACAAAGCCUUGCCAGUGAUGCUUCUGUAUAAAAGUGAGCGCCAUCAGUAUGCUGAUGCAAUUAGAGACAAUGUUUCUCCCUCGAUGGUAUAUGGCGCUGAGCAUCUAUUACGCCUCUUUGAAUAUUUAAAUCAGUGAGCUAUGAUCUUGUCUUCAGGCAAUAGAUGUAGCAUCCAAUUCUAUGCAACGCUGGUUUUGAUAGGAUGCUUCAUGGUGUUCAUACCGGUACUUGAAACAUUUUUCUGUACACAAGCCUUGAGAAGCGAAGCGCAGUGUUAAGUUGCCUGAGUUAUUGGCCCAUGCAAACAACCAAGAGGAGACACUCACAGGGUUGCACAGAAAAUUAGUUGACAUUCUGAGGUAGGAACUCCCAUCUAAGUAGCUCUUUUGGCUGGACUUGUGUUCUGUAAUUACCACCUUUAUUUGUGUUUGAGUUGCCCAGGAUAGUAGUUGAUCUCAGGAGCAUAAGAUAGUUGGAUGAGAAGUCUAACUUGGACUUUGUGCACCACGAUGUACGCAAUACUUUGUUUUUAAUCUUCAAUACUUGAUGAAAAUCAUGAAUUCUGAGCUGGUAAUCUUUUUCUGGUUUGUGGCAGUUAUUAAUCCAGAUUACCACCGAAAUUAAGUGCAACUAAUUGUUUCAAAAAAAUUAACUCAGUUUAAUGUUGUGAGUAAUUCCAAGUGUUGAACUUCAUUGGAACAGCUUGUAGAAUUCAGGAGACAGUUUGCUUUGGCCUUUGUGCAUUCCACCGCGCUGAUACAUUUUCUACAGAAGAAUCAGAGUGCCUUUUAUCUUUCUACAAACCAUGCCCCAGAAGAUUCUGAAGGAAGCACCGACAAACAAGACCACUAGAUUGGGGGCUAAAGGAUGUCAAUUUGUACAAAAUACAUCAUCAAACAGAGCUAUGAUCACCAGACUUAUCUGCGCGUUUUCUAUCAUUUCGAUUAGUAUGUUAACGAGGAAGAUAUGUUAAGGUGCGCUAGACAAUGCCAUGCUCUCUGCAACCGGGGAAAAACGUAGGAAAUCAUGAAGCCUGCAUAUUCUACAGUCUUGUUAAUUUUUAAACUGUCCUUCUCUUAUCCCAGGCCAUCGUCUCCUGGAGUGCCCGAGGCUAACUGGACCCAUGCAGCAGCUGAUAUGCUGCUGCUACGAAGAGUAAAAUCAGUGAACAAUGAUGACCAAAUUACUUUAUCUGUCCAAGUCCGCUGCACCAACCCAUUUGGAGCACUGGCCCAAUUAUCUCUGCCCUUGUGUUAUUGUAUUUAACAAGAAAAGGAAAAAGAAAAAAAGAUUCGGAUCAGUUCCCUCUGUGUGCUUUGAUUGAUUGGUGGUCUUAAA